Molecule: ribosomal RNA, 500 nt
Filed under: uncultured Myrionecta
Lineage: Eukaryota; Ciliophora; Litostomatea; Cyclotrichida; Mesodiniidae
Description: bacterial SSU rRNA
Rfam family: Eukaryotic small subunit ribosomal RNA
Source: RNAcentral
UUACCAGGUCAAGACAUGGGCGUGAUUGACAGGCUAAUGACUUCUCUCGAUUCCAUGGAUGGUGGUGCAUGGUCGCACUUAGUUGGUGCAGUGAUUUGUCAGGUUUAUUCCGGUAACGAACGAGACCUCGGCCUUGUAAAUAGCUAUGCUGCUUACAGGGACAUUGGCGGCUACGCCAAGGAAGCUCGAGGCAAUUGCAGAUCUGGAAUGCCCUUAGAUGUCCUGGGUCGCACGCGUGCUACAAUGACGCCACGAACGAGCUUGCGUGAUGAAAGUUACGCAUAAUCAGCAGUCGGCGUCUUAAGGGAUAGUCUCUUGUAACUGUGGGACUCCAACUAGGAAUGUCUCGUAAGCACAAGUCAACAUCUUGUGUUGAUUACGUCCCUGCUCUUUGUACACACCGCCCGUCGCUCCUACCGAUCGAGUGUUUAGGUGAAUUUGAUGGACGUAAGGAAGUCAAAUAAACCUGAGCACUAGAGGAAGAGAAUCGAGACUGUCAG